RNAcentral lists this ribosomal RNA (262 nucleotides) under Vibrio parahaemolyticus. Its description in RNAcentral is "partial 23S ribosomal RNA". It matches the Rfam family "Bacterial large subunit ribosomal RNA", at positions 1447 to 1709 of the family's 2925-position model. The record is from RNAcentral. Lineage: Bacteria; Pseudomonadati; Pseudomonadota; Gammaproteobacteria; Vibrionales; Vibrionaceae.
CUUACAAUUGCGAUGGGGGGACGGAGAAGGCUAGGUGGGCCUGGCGACGGUUGUCCAGGUUCAAGUGCGUAGGCUUAAGAGUUAGGUAAAUCCGGCUCUUUUUAAGGCUGAGACACGACGUCGAGCACCUACGGGUGUGAAGUCAUUGAUGCCAUGCUUCCAGGAAAAGCCUCUAAGCUUCAGAUUGUAAGGAAUCGUACCCCAAACCGACACAGGUGGUCGGGUAGAGAAUACCAAGGCGCUUGAGAGAACUCGGGUGAAG